This 352-nucleotide unclassified non-coding RNA is filed under the name soil metagenome. RNAcentral's name for it is "partial contains 5.8S ribosomal RNA, internal transcribed spacer 2, and large subunit ribosomal RNA". The stretch from base 1 to 120 matches the Rfam family "5.8S ribosomal RNA", at positions 35 to 154 of the family's 154-position model. The record is from RNAcentral.
GAUGAAGAACGUAGCGAAAUGCGAUAAGUAAUGUGAAUUGCAGAAUUCAGUGAAUCAUCGAAUCUUUGAACGCGCAUUGCGCCGGCCAGUAGUCUGGCGGGCAUGCCUGUUCGAGCGUCAUUACAACCCUCAGGCCCCCGGGCCUGGCGUUGGGGAUCGGCAGAAGCCCCCUGUGGGCACACGCCGUCCCUCAAAUACAGUGGCGGUCCCGCCGCAGCUUCCAUUGCGUAGUAGCUAACACCUCGCUACUGGAGAGCGGCGCGGCCAUGCCGUAAAACACCCAACUUCUGAAUGUUGACCUCGAAUCAGGUAGGAAUACCCGCUGAACUUAAGCAUAUCAAUAAGCGGAGGA